This 305-nucleotide ribosomal RNA is filed under the name uncultured bacterium. RNAcentral describes it as "bacterial SSU rRNA". It matches the Rfam family "Bacterial small subunit ribosomal RNA", at positions 335 to 658 of the family's 1533-position model. The record is from RNAcentral.
UGCCUACGGGACGCAGCAGUGGGGAAUAUUGGACAAUGGGGGGAACCCUGAUCCAGCGACGCCGCGUGAGUGAAGAAGUAUUUCGGUAUGUAAAGCUCUAUCAGCAGGGAAGAAAAUGACGGUACCUGACUAAGAAGCCCCGGCUAACUACGUGCCAGCAGCCGCGGUAAUACGUAGGGGGCAAGCGUUAUCCGGAUUUACUGGGUGUAAAGGGCGUGCAGCCGGAGAGACAAGUCAGAUGUGAAAUCCACGGGCUCAACCCGUGAACUGCAUUUGAAACUGUUUCCCUUGAGUGUCGGAGAGGG